This 264-nucleotide ribosomal RNA is filed under the name uncultured bacterium. Its description in RNAcentral is "partial 16S ribosomal RNA". It matches the Rfam family "Bacterial small subunit ribosomal RNA", at positions 793 to 1055 of the family's 1533-position model. The record is from RNAcentral.
GUCCACGCCCUAAACGAUGUCAACUAGGUGUUGGGGAGCAAUCUCUUGGUACCGCAGCUAACGCGUGAAGUUGACCGCCUGGGGAGUACGGUCGCAAGAUUAAAACUCAAAGGAAUUGACGGGGACCCGCACAAGCUGUGGAUGAUGUGGAUUAAUUCGAUGCAACGCGAACAACCUUACCUACCCUUGACAUGUCCGGAAUCCUGCUGAAAGGCGGGAGUGCCCCGAAAGGGAACUGGAACACAGGUGCUGCAUGGCUGUCGU